This 367-nucleotide ribosomal RNA is filed under the name uncultured bacterium. RNAcentral's name for it is "bacterial SSU rRNA". It matches the Rfam family "Bacterial small subunit ribosomal RNA", at positions 699 to 1102 of the family's 1533-position model. The record is from RNAcentral.
GCGGUGUGUACAAGGCCCGGGAACGUAUUCACCGCGGCUGCUGGGACAAUCACUAGUGAAUUCACCAACACGACGGACAAUGAACACUCAUUGUUGGUUAUUACUGUUCAGUGAGAAAACAACAACGAUAAGUGAUCCACCUGGGGAGUACGAUCGCAAGGUUGAAACUCAAAGGAAUUGACGGGGGCCCGCACAAGCGGAGGAGCAUGUGGUUUAAUUCGAUGAUACGCGAGGAACCUUACCCGGGCUUGAAGGUAAGACGAAUAUAUGGGAAACCAUAUAGCCUACGGGCGUCUUGCUAGGUGCUGCAUGGUUGUCGUCAGCUCGUGCCGUGAGGUGUUAGGUUAAGUCCUGCAACGAGCGCAAC